Molecule: non-coding RNA, 9569 nt
Organism: Sus scrofa (pig)
Lineage: Eukaryota; Metazoa; Chordata; Mammalia; Artiodactyla; Suidae
Source: RefSeq, a predicted model, not a curated record
UCCUUAACCCACUGAGCAAGGAAAGGGAUCGAACCCGUAACCUCAUGGUUCCUAGUCGGAUUCAUUAACCACUGAGCCACGACCGGAACUCCUUCCGUUUGUUUUCUUGAUAAGAGAUAUUUAUUGCUAAUAUUUCCCUUUGUUUUCUUGACAAGGUCCCAUCAUUUAUUUGGAAUCAAGAGAGUAUGUCUUUUGUAAUGACUGAGAUUUUGCAGACCUCAAAUUUAGUGUGAUGACACCUAUCUUUAAAACACUGAACCGGGGCUCACCUAUAGGUAGGAUACAUUUAAGAAGGAAGAGUGUGUGGCCCCUUUAGUUAAGAAGAAAUUGAAAUGAAUUGGUUUUGCAUUUGUCCCUCAUAUGCGAGGGGGAUUGAUUCCAGGACCUCCCCACCCCUGCCCACUGAGGGAUACUAAAAUCUGCCAAUGCUCAAGUCGUUUAUAUAAAAUGGUUUAGUACCUGCUUUAAACUCCACACAUCCUACUACUGUAUACUUUAAAGCAUCUGUAGAUUACUUAGAAUACUAAAUAAGACGUAAAUGCCAUAAAAUGUAAAUAGUUGUAAAUAUUAUAUAAUCAGUGCAUGAAUUCAAGUUUUGUUUUUUGGAACUUUCUGGAAUUUUUUGCCCCUGAAUAUUUUUGACCCACGUUUGGUUGAAUCUGAGGAUGAGGAACCUGUGGAUAUGGAGGGCCGACUUGUACAUACUUACCUGUUAAAGACCUGGGGUCUUAGUUGGGCCUUAGUUAAAUGGGAAUCAGUUAAGUGCCACAAUCAUCAAACAGACAUGAAUCUGAGAGGCAGAAUCAGGUGACCAUCAUGUGGGAUUUUCUGCUCUGCGCUCCAGUCUUGUGUAAUUUGGGAUCCUAGAUUAAUUUAAAAAGCACCUUUUUAGGAGUUUCUUGGUGGUUCAGCAGGUUAAGGAUCUGGUGUUGUCACUGCUGUGGCUUGGGCCACUGCUGUGGCGCAGGUUCUACCCCUGUCCCGGGAACCUCCACGUGCCAUGGGCACAGCCAAAAAACCCAAAACACCUUUUUAGGAUACUAAGAGCAAUAAAAAUGGGAGAAAUAUUGCUGUGGCUGUGGUGUAGGCUGGCAGCUGCAGCUCAGAUUCCACCCCUGGCCUGGGAACUUCCAUAUGCCACAGGGGCAGCCCUAAAAAGCAGGGAGAAAAAGGGGGGGGGCAGAUCAUCUCUUAAAGACAGAUUAGAAUAAAUAUUCAUUCAGGUUGGUGCCGGAAGGCCACUGUGUAACUAAAUAGCAAGAAACUUAAGACUCCUUAGCCUUCCAGAUAUGAAGAGAGUGAGUGAUGAGGGUCAUUAAGUUGCCGAAGGAGAUUCAGGUGAUUAGAAAGAAGGGCUAGCUAGUUGUUUUUUUCUGGGAGGGUUGGAGGUAGAGAAGUGACAGGUGAGCACAGAGAUCUCAAAUUCUCAAAUUUGAGCCAUCAAUUUUGUGUGUAUACCUGUGGGUUUCCCAAGCACGUUUAAGUUUUUUGUAACAGACUGGAAAAUUUGAGCAAUGUUGUUACUGGUUAAGCUUUUCUUUUUUGUGGGGGGGGGGAUCCCCUUAGAGAUGACAUUGGGCCUUACUGGAAACCCUCCCACCUCUGACCCGGCACAGUCCCCUCCCACCCAGUAUAGGAAACUGGUAGCUCUGUGCCCAGGGCUGGUAAUCUGUGGGUUCUGGGAUAAAUAACCCCAGCGGGCUGCCUACAGCAGGGGAAUAAAGUGACUAAGAAGAGGAGGAUACUUCAAAGUCACUGUCCCCAUAAUGCAAAUGAUGUUCCCGCAUUUUUUUCCUGGUCUGAUUUGAUAAUGAUUUCAUUUGUCAGACAUUCAGUUAGCAUGGGGAAGGUUCUCACUGCUUUUUUUCCCUCUUGUCUUUAAGGAUCAUACUUUCAGUUAAUAUUUUUAAAUGCCUACUCUGGGCCCUGGGUAUACAGUGUAAACAAGGAUGACCAAAACAGAUAUGACCCCCACUUUCAGGAAGCUCAGAGCCUUGUGGGGGAGAUGGAGACAGUAAACAAGUGAACACAUAAGUAAGCAAUCGCGUGUUGUGAUGAGUGGGGUGGAGGAAGAAGACAGGGUAUCAUAAGAGGAAGGAGCAGGAGGGACACGAUUGACAGCAGGAGGUUGCAGAUAGCCUCUCUGAGGCAGAGACCUGAAGGUUAAACAGGAAUUUUUCUAGUGAAAAAAAAAAAAAAGAGGGCACAGCCUGUGCAAAGGCCCUGAGGCAGCAAGCUGGAGCGCUUGUGUAGACUGAGGCUGGAGAGGAAGGCAGGGUUUCAUUUAAGAGCAGUAGAUGCCACGGAGUGUUGAAAGCAGAAGGGUGAUGUGAUCCAGUUUGUGAAAAGUCACUGUGGCUGUUGGGCAGAGACCAGAUUUGGGGCAGGCCUAGCCUGGAAUCUGCUGGGCAAACUGGGAGGCUGUGGCAGGAAUCUAGGCAGCAAGUGGUGCUCGGUGACGGGCGUGGCAAUGGCCAAGAGGUGGGCGGAUUUCAGAAAUAUUUCAGAGGUUCGGUUGGGGUUGGCCUGACUGGUGAUGGAUUGGACGUGGGUGGGGGUGAGUGAGAGGAAGUGAUAAGAAUGAACAAAUAAAAUAAGGAGAACUCGCUGUUGAGAUUGAACCAGGAAAUUGGUGGUUGCUUUCUUUCCCCCCCACAGUCACUGUGAUAUGAGAGUGAGGUCACCAUUACAAAGGCGACACAGGCAGCCAUACCUAUGAGUCGAGGCUCCUGUUGGAGUGACUGAGUAGGAAACACCCCUGAAACUGGGUGUGUACGUGUGUGUAUCUCCAAGUCUUUGCAGUUUUAAUACAGGCCUGGUCUUUGCAUGGUGGUAGUAUAGCUGAUGUGACCUCACCAACACAGCUGGUGAGGUCACUGCUACAAGGAAAAUAGGACUAAGAAAAAGAGCAGUGACACAGAACAUGAGGGAAAAUACACCCAUGAUUGAAAAAUGCAGCUCUGGAGGCAAGUAUGUCAACGAUUUAAAUGUUUUUCACAUCAGGGAAGGUGGUAUACCCUGAAAUCCAAACCGGGAAAGAAGGAUAAAGAGCGAGGAGAAAUUGAGGUUGACAUCCAGUUUAUGAGAAACAACAUGACCGCUAGCAUGUUUGACCUUUCCAUGAAAGACAAGACUCGGAAUCCAUUUGGGAAACUGAAGGACAAGAUCAAGGGGAAGAACAAGGACAGCGUGUCAGAUACUGCCUCAGCCAUCGUCCCCAGCGUGACACCCUCAGCCGACAGCGACGAUGAGUCGCCUUCGAAAGACAAGAAGAAGAAGUCAAAGAUCAAGACCUUGUUCUCCAAGUCCAACCUGCAGAGAACGCCGCUUUCCCAGUCCAUGUCUGUCCUGCCGACCUCAAAGGCAGACAAGGUGCUGCUUCGUCCCGGAGACUUUCAGUCACGGUGGGAGGACGAGGAUGAGGACGAGUCCUCCUCUGCUUCGGAUGUCUCAUCUCACAAAAGAACUGCCAGUGGGGAUCCUAAGCAGCUGAACCCGAUCAACUUCACCCUCCCCAAGAAGGAUGGACUCUCUUUCCUGGGAGGUCUCCGGUCUAAGAAUGAUGUCCUUUCCCGCUCCAACGUCUGCAUCAACGGGAACCACGUCUACGUGGAGCAGCCUGAAGCCAAGAGCGAGACCAAGGACAGCUCCCCGUCCUCCUCUCCAUCCCCCCAGGGCUUAAGGAAGAAGCACCUGUUCUCAUCUACAGAAAACCUGGCCACUCAGCCUUGGAAGGAGCCUGGGGAGGGAGUUGCCAUGCUUUCUGAGUCUUCCACAAAGGCCUCUCUCAAGUCCAUGUCUCUGCCAUCCUACCGGCCGGUGGUCAGUGGGGACCUUCGGGAGAACACAUCUCUGGCGACCCUGGAGGCUGCAAAAGAAACCAAAGAGAACAAGAAACAGGAGAACAAGAAGUCCUCUCUGCUGUCCCUGGUGACGGGGAAGAAGGACACGGCCAAGGGCAGUGAAGGCGAGAGCCCUCCUGCCGCCCCUGGGAAGGAGAGGGAAGGUUUGGCCUCAGGAGUCAAAGCCAGGGAGGACCAGCCAGGGCCUGUGGACAACCUUGUGAAGGAGUCAGAGAAGGAGCCAGCUGUCAUUUCUGGGCGAGGGAGAUCCUGGAACCCCUUUGAGGAUGUGCAUAUCCUAGAACCGGAAGCUGACCCCGAGCCCAAGGCUGCACCUGCACCACCUGUGGCCUCUCCGAGGGCUCCCCAGACCAGAGCUGUGAAACCCCGACCGGAAGUGUCUCCAGAGGCUCAGCCCACACCCCGGCCCUCUUCUUUCCCUGACCCUUCUCUCUCUUCCUCGGCUGUCUCUUCCAGUUCUGGUCAGACACUCGACCCUUCUAAACUGGAACACGAUUCAGAGACACAGUCCUCUGAAUCUCUUUCUGUCUCCUCCACUUUCUCCUCUCCCUUAGUGACCCCCAUUUCCACAUCCACUCCGAUUGACAGCUGGCCCUCUGCUGCCACGAGCCAGGCCAGUUCUGAAGAGUCGCCUUCACUCCUUAAACCAGCGCUGCAAAAAGAGAGCUUAACACAAGUUCCAAAUACUGUUUCUUGGGCCGUGGGCUCACUUUCCAAGCAGCCGCCCAUCCCAGUAGGUGAAGGGACACAAGAUUCUCCAGGGAGGAGGACUGGCACCAACGACCCAGCCCAGUUGCCCCUGAUGAAGCCUGAAGUAGGACUAGAAGAAGAGCGUCUGAGGUCCCCCCCAGAGAACAAGAAGGCAGUCCUUCCCCAUUGGAAGAGGACCGAGAAGUACCAGCUGCCCUUCCGCGCAGAAGAGGCGGGAUUGAAAGCCCAGCCGGGAAGCCCCUGGUCAGGGAAGAUGCAGACUCUGUGGUUCAGCCAAGGUCUCCUGGGGGGGACACGGCUGGGGAUGUAGGGAUGAUUCCUGUGGUCAGAGAAGCGGUGUCCCCCCUUCACAUGGGGGUGUUUGUUCCCCUACCUGACUCCGCAAUGCAGAGACAGAAGGAGAUGGGGCUGGAUGUCCCUGAGGCUGGAAAGAAAAUCAAGAAGCGGGUGUCAUUUUCCAAGCAGCUCUUUACAGAAGAGGCAGUGGAGGAGGCACCAGCUCUGGUCCCCAGGGACAGAGGUGACCCCUAUGAGCGAUGCAAGAAGGGGCUGCCCCUGGAGAUGCCUGGCACAUGGGUGAUUCCCAGGAGGGGGAGGCUGUGGCUGAAGCUCUGCUGACCUCCUUGUGGCUCGAUCUCCCCUUCCGUCCCACCAUGGGGGUUCCUCAGAGGGUUCCCAGCAGGCCACCAGCUCAGGGAGAGACAUUCCACUCUCCAGGAUGGAGGGAGAUGAUAGCCGGAUGCCUGGAAAUCAGAGCAAAGCCACUGACCACGAGGGUCUGUUGUCUGAUCCCCUGCGAGGCUUCCAGUCUGCCUGUGGGGUGAAGUCCCCGCUGUGGCCCAGCUGGACUUGACACUGCCUUCUAUCCCCGAAGUCGCAUCAGAUGACGAGAGAGUAGACCAGCCUGAAGACGACAGGGGGGUGGCCAGGGGAGGGGGCACCUCUUCCCCAAGCACGUCACCUGCCCAUCCUGGCUGGUCAGCAGAGAGCCUGCAAGACCCUGGGCCAGAAGCAUCUGGAGCAUCCGCCCUGGCUUCUUCAGAGCAGACGGCAGCCUUGGCAGAUCAGAAACUGCAUCCGGGUGAGAGCCCAGGUGUGGAUGAGCAGCCGCUGGGCCCUGGUCAAGGCAUGGAGGCAAAGCCAGUGGAAAGUGGGAGGCCAGCUCAGCCUCCUGUUGCUGCCCUGUCUUCCCCCAUGUCCAGCCCGUCUUUUUCUGAGCCCUUUCCUGCCACACACUCUGCUCCUAGCUCUCCACACUCCGACACCCCUCACACCAGUACAGCAGAAUCUCAAAAAAAAGCAACCACAGAGGGCUCCGUGGGUAAGGUGGAAAAUUCUGGCAAGAGGAAGCCGCUCCUUCAGGCCUGGGUCUCACCCUCAGAAACACAGCCAGUCUCGGCUCAGCCCAGCGUUGGAACUGGGCCAGCCAAGAACAGACUUCAGCCUGUGAAGCCGAUGAAUACGACAGCCACCAAGGUUGUCAACUCCAGUCUGGGAACUGCCACCAUCAUCAGUGAGAACUCCAUCAAUGAGGCCAUGAUGAAGAAAUACAAGCCCUCGGACCCUGCGUUUGCUUAUGCUCAGCUAACACACGAUGAGCUGAUCCAGCUGGUCCUCAAACAGAAGGAAACAAUAAGCACGAAGGAGCUUCAGGUGCGCCAGUUGGAGGACUACAUCGACAACCUGCUGGUCAGGGUCAUGGAAGAGACCCCCAACAUCCUCCGGGUCCCCUCUCAGGUCGGCAGAAAAGCAGGAAAGAUGUGACUCAUCAGCCUCCGACCUUGAGCCUUUUCUUUGCGAGUUUGUUUCCACCUGCUCCUGAGGCCAAGGACUCGGUGUGCCUGCGAGCCGGCGCUCAGGCUCCAAAUCACCAUCUCCCUUGCUUGUUAUCUGGCGAGAGUCAACCCUACCCAUGGAAGCCAGGUUAAUUAUUACAAUGAAUCUUUUACUGUACAUUCCCAGGGUUUUUAAAUGCCACUGUGCCUUUAACCGUGUUGUAAGGAGUUUAUGCCCCGACCAGAGAUGGGGUUAGAAGAGCUGACCCUGGCCCAGAGGUUCGGGUGGCACUGGGGGUAUUAAGGUAUUUUAACAUUGGACUUUCUUCCUUUGAUGUUGAGAUUUUAAAGUACGUCUCCCCCAGUCAUUAAAGGUGGGGGUAAAAGGACCAGGACCAUGCCAUGGGGGCUGUACUGCGCAUCCUUUCUUGGCUUUUGAGUGGCUCAGGUGUGGCUUUUGGCUGCAGAUGCUAAAUUUUGAUACCAUGUAAAUCUACCUGGCUUCUGGACUUGGUCUUUUGUUUUGACCAGAGCAGAGGAAUUUAGGGAGCGCCUCGGGGUGUGCCUUUCAGAUUUGGAACCAGCUGCCUUCUCCAGACAUCAGCUGCCACUACUCUGUAGCCUUAAAUGUGCUCCUUGUCUAUCCAGAGGACUUCUCCAUGGGGGUCCACAAAGUAGACUGGGGGGUUAGAGUCACUUUACGCUUGAGGGAGUUGGUCAAAGUGUCCCCUCGUGAUCUCCAGGUUCCUGCUGGCUAGAGUGGCCGAGGCAGUGCCUUGAUAAGGGACCAGGUGAUCCAAGCAUUUACUAAAAUGGAUCCACCAGGUAUAGUACCACUGAUUGCAGCAGGAUCCCUUUGACCUUUGCCCCCUGUACCUUUGCUUGGCUCCCUCAUUUACCUGACAGCCCUUCCUGGCGUUUCCUCCCUUGUUAUAAAAUUAUCAAGAGCGAGAAUAUGACACUUAUUUGUAGAUUGCUGGGUUUGUGUGUGUGUGUGUGUGUGUGUUUUUCAUUUUUGGCCACCCCAUGGAAUAUGGAGUUCCUGGGCCAGGGAUUAGAUCUGACUCAUAGUUGUGACCUAAGCUGCAGCUGCUUCAGUGCUGGAUCCUUAACCCACUGUGCUGGGCCAGGGAUUGAACCUGAGUCCCAGAGUUCCAGAGAAGUGGCUGAUCCCAUUGUGCCACAGAGGGAACUCCUGUCUUUUUCUUUUUUCUUUUUUUGGCCACUCCCAUGGCGUUCAGAGGUUCUUGGACCAAGGAUCAAACCUGUGCCACAGCAGCAACCCAGGCCAGCUCCUUAAUCCUCUGAGCCACCAGGGAACUCUGGGUUGCAGUCUUUUUUAAAACUAGAUUAACGCAUGUACUUUUUUUUUUAAAUGAGGACACUUGCUCCCUUCUUAACUAAUAACAACAGUUCAGAUUCUUUAGUAACUGGGUACUGAAAUUAGAACGUUUCUGUAUUACUCAUUUUUUUCUCCUAGUUGUGACAGCAUCUCACCAAUACCAGGGGAAGAGUGUCACUGGCCCAUGGGGUGGGCAGUGGUCGAGACAAUAGCAGUAAUGAAAUUGGGACUCUCUUCUGUGUUCAUUUCUGGUAUUUGGAAGUUAAGAGGCAAGAGUAUUGGCAGCAGAAUCCCUUUUCAGGGUCACAGUUGCUGCCACAUCAGUUAAUAUCAGAGCACUUUAAUCCGAAGGAUGAUAUUGUAACUUGAUUUAGCUAAUUAGCUUUUAAUGAUCUACAGCUGUUUUAUUUAAUACUCUCCUACAGUACUGGGGACCACUGUAAACUUCUCAGACGACUUGUGUUUUUGUAGUGCUACGCAAUGUAUCUACAUCCCUCCAAAGAGAACUGUCUAUUCGCUAGAUCUCUGGAAAUGUACGUGUAUGUAUUUGUUCUGCAAUAUGUUUUUGACUUGAAGUAAAUGUGCUUUGACUGUGAGAGCCCUCGUGGACGGGGGUGGCAGGUGGGUGCUGAGUGGCUUCGGGAAGAACUGCCAUGGAGACCACCCCCCCUUCUUCCCAAGAGGUGGUGGUGGCUGUGGAGGGAUCUGCUGCUAGAACCAUGCUGGAGAGGGAGUCCCGGCAGAGGAGCAAAUUCCUCUGCCCUGAGAUGCCCUUGAGAACUCCGGAGAAUGAAGGACAAUUUGCUUCAAGAGUGUCUGGUUUCUUCCACUGCUUGGAAAAACAUUUUAUUACAUGUAGCAUUCCUGUUCCUCUCAAACAAAGUAGGUAACUUGGAGGUCACUGGUAGGCUGUCCUUAAGGACUCUACUGUGAAGGAGAACUCACCUAGGAAAGCUGGAGCCUGCUCUGAGCUGUUGGCCAAGGCUGACAGAUGAGAGGGCUGGAGCUCCUGCAGCUGGAGCUGCUCUGAGGGCUUACGCCCAUUCUUCUGCAGCAGGAGAGCCCAGAGUUUCCUCUAGCUGCUGAAAACACUCACCAAACUGACAGGCCCUGGGAGGAGACCAUGCUCUGCAAAAGCAGGAGCGGCUCCUUCUUGGCUUUGACUGGCUGCUUCCCCUGGGAGAGCAGUCAAUACUUCAGGGAAGCGGCCAAUGAAAUACUAAUGCCUUGCAAUGAACUUUGACUGGAGGUCAGCUUCCUGAAAACAUGGCAGUCCUUUGCCUGGUAGUUUCAUCUCAUCUCAUUGCUUGGACUUUGACAGAUGUCCUGUUCACCCCUUUUAUUUCCUGCAUGUCAGCCUCCCCGGAGGAGCAAGAACAUCUCCCCUUUGCCAUGUGAACAGCUGUUGACCCUGAGUGGAAGGUAUGUGUGGUUCCAGCUCUACUGACAGUGGGAGCUCAGAAGGUCACAGAAGAGUUAGGGACCAUGGCAUUCAGCCACCUGCUGGAUGGCAGGCCAGAGGCAAUUUGAUGUAAAUUAUGCACAGUCUUCCCUUCCUGCAGCCCUUCUCCUGACUGAAUUUUUUUCUUUUUUUUUUUUUACAACUACUCGCCAAUGAUCCACGAAGGCCAAACAAUCUCUUGCCUUAGGUGGAGAGCUCAACCUCCCGGUCACCAUACCAUCCUCCACUCUGUGGUUUCUUGGCAUCUAUUUUGUGAGCUACUAACUUGACCUAUUCCUCUCUCCCAGCAUUUUUGGAUUAUAGAAUUGUUAUUUCCUGCUUUGUUACUUUGGGAAUUUUGGAUUUCUUUGGUUUUGUUUUAAGCAGUAGCCUAAAUUUCCUACAACACUAAAUAAAUUGAUACUACCUUUCACAGA